AUGGCCGCCUCAUACGACUACGACGACACCGCCGGGUACUCCCAGACGGCGGAGUCACUGAGCUACGACCCAAACGUGGUGCCGGACUCGGUGAAGUCGUUCGCGGUGCACCUGUACAGGCACAUCAGAGAGAAGAACGUGUACGAGAUCCACCAGAUGUACGAGACCUCAUUCCAGACCCUGAGCGAGCGCAUGUUCAAGGACACACCUUGGCCCUCCGUCGACGCCGUCGCUAAGUUCGUCGACAACGACCACGUCUUCUGCUUGCUCUACCGCGAGAUGUGGUUCCGCCACCUCUACGCUCGCUUGUCACCUACUCUCAAGCAGAGGAUCGAUUCCUGGGACAAUUACUGCAGUCUCUUUCAGGUGGUGUUGCAUGGGGUGGUGAAUAUGCAAUUGCCGAACCAAUGGUUGUGGGACAUGGUGGAUGAGUUUGUGUACCAGUUUCAGUCGUUUUGUCAGUAUCGGGCGAAGAUGAAGAACAAGACUGAGCAGGAGAUUGCAACUCUCAGGCAAUUUGAUCAGGCUUGGAAUGUGUAUGGUGUGCUCAACUUUUUGCAAGCACUUGUUGAGAAAUCCAUGAUCAUUCAAAUCCUAGAGCAGGAGAAGGAAGGCCUUGAACAGUUCACUUCAACUGAUGGAUAUGAUUACGAUGGUGGAAGCAAUGUCUUGAAGGUCUUGGGGUAUUUCAGCAUGGUGGGAUUGCUACGAGUCCAUUGUCUUUUGGGUGAUUAUCAUACUGGUUUAAAGUGUUUACUUCCCAUUGACAUAAGUCAACAAGGUGUCUACACCAUUGUUAUUGGAAGCCACAUAACCACCAUAUAUCAUUAUGGUUUUGCGAAUCUUAUGCUACGGAGGUAUGUGGAGGCGAUUCGAGAAUUUAAUAAGAUUCUGCUGUACAUUUACAAGAUUAAGCAAUAUCACCAAAAAUCUCCUCAAUAUGAACAGAUACUGAAGAAGAAUGAGCAGAUGUAUGCCUUGCUUGCAAUUUGUCUCUCUCUUUGUCCCCAAGUGAAGCUUGUUGACGAGACUGUGCACUCACAACUUAGGGAGAAGUAUGGUGAGAAGAUGUUGAGAAUGCAGAGAUACGAUGAUGAAGCAUUUGCCCUCUAUGAUGAGCUCUUCUCAUAUGCUUGUCCCAAGUUCAUUACUCCCUCAGCUCCAAGUUAUGAGGAGCCUCUUGUAAAUUACAACCAGGAUGCUUAUAGACUUCAGUUGAAGUUGUUCCUAUAUGAAGUCAAGCAACAACAGUUGUUAUCAGGUGUUCGGACCUUUCUGAAUGUGUAUUCGACCAUCUCCCUUGGGAAGCUUGCAACUUACAUGGAAGUUGAUGAACCAACUCUGAGGACAAUUCUGAUGGCAUACAAGCAUAAAACUCAUGCUGUUGAUUCUGAUGGAAAAACCAUCUCUAAUGCUGAUAUUGAUUUCUACAUCGAUGAUGACAUGGUUCACGUGGUUGAAUCAAAACCAGCUAAGCGAUACGGGGAUUACUUCUUGCGUCAGAUUGUUAAGCUUGAAGGGGUGAUGAACGAUAUGGACAGGAUAAAGUUGGACUGAGUCGAUCGUAUCUGUAUUAGGAUACACCUCUAUGCCUUGUGCAAGUUUUUAUUAUAAUUGGAAGGUACGGACGAUCCUGUUCCUUUCCUCUGUUUGUUAGAGGUUUGUUUUCUCCAACCAACGGGUACUAAUUUUUGUUUGGAAAUAAUCAUGAUAGGUUGAUUUAUUUGAUGCUCUAGUGUUAUCGCCUGCACUGAAUUGCGAAGACUGAAUAAUCAUUUGAUAGGUUGCUUCAUAUGACUCGUGACAAUCACGACAACAAGGCGUGAGGUCGAUAUAUUUGUAAUACAUUAGAUAAUAUUCAACAUGUUGUACCAAUAUCAUUAAUCGGACAGAGUCAACGUAUAAUCAAAAUUAAACCUAUGGCAAAUUACACUAAUAAUUCUCCUA
Non-coding RNA from Camellia sinensis, 1947 nucleotides. The record is from RefSeq and is a predicted model, not a curated record. Lineage: Eukaryota; Viridiplantae; Streptophyta; Magnoliopsida; Ericales; Theaceae.